UUAUAAUAAUGUGGGGUUCUUUCUGUCAACUGUUAUAAAACUAUUUUUGGUAAAGGGGAUACUAUAGAUACAUUUAUUUAAAAUACAGCUCUCUUUAUACAUUAAAAUAUACAUUGCAAGUUUCAGCUUUCUUACUUAUAGGUAACUGAAGUUUUUUCACACUAUAAAACUAUAAUCAGUUAAUAAAUAUAAGCGUUAUUUUAUAUCCGAGAAAACAGCAGCUUCCCCGUUCAGUUGUGUCUGUUUAUAGCGCACUGAUGACCAGAUUAAAGAUGGCGGCCGCGUUGACGUAUCAGAGCAACACCGAAGCAGACCACGAGGCGUCUAGCUAUUUAUUACAUAUAUAUGAUUUAGCCUAUAUUUUGAGACACUAAAGUUGAGACUACAUUGCUCUCUGGUGGCCUUAACUGAACUAUAUAUUUUUCAGAGAUUACAUACAUGUUAGAUACAGAUUAUAUAUGUCUGAAAAAUAAGACACACAUGCAUAAAAUAGAAUAUAAACAUACAAAAGUUAAUCAAACUAAGAAUUAAAGUUGCUAUUAUUUACUCAAAAGAUAAUAUAAUCAAAAGAUAGUGUUACAGGGACCCACAUACUUAAAAUUAUUAGUAUUAUUAUUAUAUUCUACAGUGCUUCACGAAAAUUGCGCACUGCACCUUUAAGAUAAUUGAAUAAGGCGGCGUAUUGGCGUUGCUGUGGUUACCAUAUUCAGUGGCGUUCUAAAAAAGAAUGUGUUCGAAAAACCGUCGAUGACGUUGAGAAACUGGUGUGACCUGCAUUAAGUUUCUGGCCAUCGCUGACAUUGGACGAUUGGAAUGGACCACAUGGAGAAAAAGGGAAUCACACAUCUCAGCAACAACUGGAAAUUGAUAGUCAGGAAUUUCUUU
Danio rerio (zebrafish) is the source of this 885-nucleotide non-coding RNA. NCBI's taxonomy places the organism in Eukaryota, Metazoa, Chordata, Actinopteri, Cypriniformes, Danionidae. The record is from RefSeq and is a predicted model, not a curated record.